GUUGAACGCUGGCGGUAUGCUUAACACAUGCAAGUCGAACGGACUCUUCGGAGUUAGUGGCGGACGGGUGAGUAACGCGUGAGAAUCUGGCUAUGGGUUUGGGACAACCACUGGAAACGGUGGCUAAUACCGGAUGUGCCGAGAGGUAAAAGUGAAAUUGCCUGAAGAUGAGCUCGCGUCUGGUUAGCUAGUUGGUGAGGUAAAGGCUCACUAAGGCAGCGAUCAGUAGCUGGUCUGAGAGGAUGACCAGCCACACUGGGACUGAGACACGGCCCAGACUCCUACGGGAGGCAGCAGUGAGGAAUUUUCCACGAUGGGCGAAAGCCUGACGAAGCUAUUCCGAUUGAGGGAAGAAGGCUCUUGGGUUGUAAACCUCUUUUCUUAGGGAAGGACGAAAUGACGGUACCUAAGGAAUCAGCAUCGGCUAACUCCGUG
RNAcentral lists this ribosomal RNA (435 nucleotides) under uncultured bacterium. RNAcentral's name for it is "partial 16S ribosomal RNA". It matches the Rfam family "Bacterial small subunit ribosomal RNA", at positions 28 to 507 of the family's 1533-position model. The record is from RNAcentral.